CGCCCUUAGUUGCUACUUUGUUUUUCAUCCCCGUGUGUCUGCUUUUGGUUUUUGUAACAGCUUUUCAAUAAAGCUCGCCUUUUGUUUCCCUGAUCUUGCCUCCAUUAACUGCGUUUGGGUCCAACUCCCAUUCCUUAAUCUUCCUUUUUACCCCGACGUGACACAUUUCGACAAGAAAACAGUGUGACCUGGACUGAUGAGAGCUGUGUGAUCUGCAUUGUGCCGGAUUGUGUGUGUGUGUAUAUGAUGCUUGAGCCUCUGGUCUUUUUCUUUGCAUGGAUCCCUGGUUCCAAGAUCUCCAUGAAGACUCCUCCUGCUGGAAUCUUCCUGUUCUGUAGAGGUAGCAGGGAGGCUCAAAGGAUGUGAGGUGUUCUGCUAAUUGUGUGUAUGGUUGUGUUAACUGUGUGUAGUGUUUUGAAAAACCGGGCCCUCUAUUCGAAAUCGUGCUUCAGCAAUUGAAAAAAAACUGUAGUGUUCAAGCAGUGGGUAAAAACUGUAUUUUUGUUUUAUUCUUGCUUUAACUGAAUUUACUGUACUGCAAAAUACACUACUGUAAUGAAAUGA
Molecule: long non-coding RNA, 564 nt
Organism: Acanthopagrus latus (yellowfin seabream)
Lineage: Eukaryota; Metazoa; Chordata; Actinopteri; Spariformes; Sparidae
Exons: 3
Source: RefSeq, a predicted model, not a curated record